RNAcentral lists this transfer RNA (75 nucleotides) under Fukomys damarensis (Damara mole-rat). It matches the Rfam family "tRNA". From Rfam's summary of the family: Transfer RNA (tRNA) molecules are approximately 80 nucleotides in length. Their secondary structure includes four short double-helical elements and three loops (D, anti-codon, and T loops). Further hydrogen bonds mediate the characteristic L-shaped molecular structure. tRNAs have two regions of fundamental functional importance: the anti-codon, which is responsible for specific mRNA codon recognition, and the 3' end, to which the tRNAs corresponding amino acid is attached (by aminoacyl-tRNA synthetases). tRNAs cope with the degeneracy of the genetic code in two manners: having more than one tRNA (with a specific anti-codon) for a particular amino acid; and 'wobble' base-pairing, i.e. permitting non-standard base-pairing at the 3rd anti-codon position. The record is from Rfam by way of RNAcentral. Lineage: Eukaryota; Metazoa; Chordata; Mammalia; Rodentia; Bathyergidae.
GGGGAUGUGGCUCAGUGGCAGAGUGCUUGCCCAGCAUGGACAAGAGGACCCUGGGUUCAAUCCCCAGUUUCGCCA